GGAUGUAAUAGAUUUGCCCGGGCCAUG
Molecule: non-coding RNA, 27 nt
Filed under: Rattus norvegicus (Norway rat)
Lineage: Eukaryota; Metazoa; Chordata; Mammalia; Rodentia; Muridae
Source: RNAcentral